GAUGAACGCUGGCGGCGUGCCUAAUACAUGCAAGUCGAGCGAACAGACGAGGAGCUUGCUCCUCUGACGUUAGCGGCGGACGGGUGAGUAACACGUGGAUAACCUACCUAUAAGACUGGGAUAACUUCGGGAAACCGGAGCUAAUACCGGAUAAUAUAUUGAACCGCAUGGUUCAAUAGUGAAAGACGGUUUUGCUGUCACUUAUAGAUGGAUCCGCGCCGCAUUAGCUAGUUGGUAAGGUAGCGGCUUACCAAGGGAACGAUGCGUAGCCGACCUGAGAGGGUGAUCGGCCACACUGGAACUGAGACACGGUCCAGGCUCCUGCGGGAGGCAGCAGUAGGGAAUCUUACGCAAUGGGCGAGAGCUUGACGGAGCAACGCCGCGUGAGUGGUGAAGGUCUUCGGAUCGUAAAACUCUGUUAUUAGUGAAAAACAAAUGUGUAAGUAACUAUGCACGUCUUGACGGUACCUAAUCAGAAAGCCACGGCUAACUACGUG
RNAcentral lists this ribosomal RNA (497 nucleotides) under uncultured bacterium. Its description in RNAcentral is "partial 16S ribosomal RNA". It matches the Rfam family "Bacterial small subunit ribosomal RNA", at positions 28 to 507 of the family's 1533-position model. The record is from RNAcentral.